GCUGGGUGUGGUGGUGCACGCCUGUAAUUCCAUCUGCUUGGAAGGCUGAGGCAGGAGAAUCGCUUGAACCUGGGAGGCGGAGGUUGCAGUGAGCUGAGAUUGCACCACUGCACUCCAGCCUGGGUGACAGAGUGAGACUCUGUCUCCA
Molecule: unclassified non-coding RNA, 148 nt
Organism: Pongo abelii (Sumatran orangutan)
Lineage: Eukaryota; Metazoa; Chordata; Mammalia; Primates; Hominidae
Rfam family: Metazoan signal recognition particle RNA
About the family: The signal recognition particle (SRP) is a universally conserved ribonucleoprotein.
Source: Ensembl